GUGCCAGCAGCCGCGGUAAUACGAAGGGUGCAAGCGUUACUCGGAAUUACUGGGCGUAAAGCGUGCGUAGGUGGUUAUUUAAGUCCGUUGUGAAAGCCCUGGGCUCAACCUGGGAACUGCAGUGGAUACUGGAUGACUAGAAUGUGGUAGAGGGUAGCGGAAUUCCUGGUGUAGCAGUGAAAUGCGUAGAGAUCAGGAGGAACAUCCAUGGCGAAGGCAGCUACCUGGACCAACAUUGACACUGAGGCACGAAAGCGUGGGGAGCAAACAGGAUUAGAUACUCUGGGAGUCC
RNAcentral lists this ribosomal RNA (292 nucleotides) under uncultured microorganism. RNAcentral's name for it is "partial 16S ribosomal RNA". It matches the Rfam family "Bacterial small subunit ribosomal RNA", at positions 505 to 796 of the family's 1533-position model. The record is from RNAcentral.